RNAcentral lists this transfer RNA (88 nucleotides) under Thermoplasmata archaeon. RNAcentral's name for it is "tRNA-Ser". It matches the Rfam family "tRNA". Rfam says of the family: Transfer RNA (tRNA) molecules are approximately 80 nucleotides in length. Lineage: Archaea; Methanobacteriati; Thermoplasmatota; Thermoplasmata. RNAcentral also lists the same sequence under 1 other name. The record is from RNAcentral.
GCCGAGGUAGCAAAGUCCGGCCUAAUGCGCCGGCCUUGAGAGCCGGUUCCCCGUUUGGGGAGCGGGAGUUCAAAUCUCCCCCUCGGCG